GGGUCCCUGCCUGCGACGUGGAGGCGGGGGCUCAGGAGUCCCUGCUCAGGGAGUUGAAGGCGGGGUUCGGGGUCCCUGCCCCAGACGCGGAGGCGGGGGCUGCCCUCUGGGCGCAGUGGCAGCUGCGGGUAACGAGCGCUUCCGGCGCGUCAGCCGCUAAAUAUAAAGUGCUGAGCGCAUCUUCUCUUUUAAUCCCUCCCCUCCCCCAAACCUGCGGUAGCUUCGUGUCCCUUAAAAUAAAUCCCAGUCCGCUACCAGCGCCUCAAAGCCCCGCCUGGCUUGGCCUGGCCCGCCCGGCUCCAGCCCGGAGGCCUCCUGGGCGUCCUCGGUGAGAGGCGGAGAGGGGGGCUCCGACUGUCCCUGCGCGGUCAGCCACUAAGAGCGCGCACGUGUGCGCUGGCUUUUUGUCCGUCUCUCCCUCUGGCCCGGCCCAUCAGAUCAGGGAUUAGUGCUGGGCCCUGGAAGAAACUUGGUGCAUGGUGACCAGCAUUUUAUAAAAAUGAAACACAAUAAAACGGAAGAUAUCAGGGCAUCCCACAUAGACUAUUGUUUUGUGUUGAGACCAUUUACAUGCGUGAAUAUUUACAUGGGUACUGGGUCAAAUGUGGGAUGUGUUUCUUACCAGAGUGCCAAACAAACGAAUGAAAGCCAGUGCCGAGAACAACUUGAGCCACCCCACAGACCAGGCGUUCUGACUCCCCUGGUCUUAACAGAGGAGGACUGAGAUCCAGCACAGGACAGAGGAGCUGCUGGCAGGACAGGUGCCUGCCCGUCACAGAACACUCUGGUCCCACUGGCACUCAGCCAUGGCCAGUACCAGAAUUUGAGAAAAGGGAGCGGGAGAGAUGGAAAAGUCUUCAAAAUGUAUCUGCCAAGAGCUACCUGUACAUUUUAGACCUGGUUCUUGACUCGUGGAAAAUUGCAGUGGUGAGGAGAGCAAGGACAGGUCGGCCAUGGAAUUAGUGUAGCCCCACUGAGAGAGAUCUCUGGGGAUCCGGGCCUCCUGCUCCUGGAACAGAGGUAGGGCUCUCCCUCACUGUGGCACAGCCUUUCCCUGGGAGCGCACCUGUCUGGAGUAGCUGUCGUCCCCUGUCCCCUGAUCAUCUCUGCAACCAUCUGGCCUGGUUGUCCCCCCGUGCAGCCGCAGCCCUCCUUCCCUCCACUUUCCAGCUCUAGAACAUGACUUGCCCAAUGUUAUAGAUUCUGUGCCUCCCAGAUCCUGGUUUCUGGGCCACAGGCCUCUGUGUUGGAGGUGGGGAAGGACUCUUCACUAACAGGAGUUGGUUCUGUCUUGGAAAAGAGAGUUAGACCCGAAGCCUCAAGACCAGGGUGUGGUGUCAUUCCUGGAGACCUCCAAGAGCCUGCUAGGCUUCUUGGUGUGCAGCUAGGUGGUUCCCUGAGGACAUUAGCCAUGGGGCAAAUGCCCAGGCAGGGCAGAGGCUAAAAAUAUAUGGGGCACACAGGCCCAGGAAUGCCAGUCCUACCACCCAUUCCUUGGUGUCCUGCCCAGAGCGGAGGGUACUUUGCAGAAGGUUUGAGAAGGGGAACGGUUGUGGCAGUACCUAAACUUGACUCUGGAGGUCAUCGGCGUGGUCUGUGUCCCAAGCUGGGGCACACCCAUCCAGCACGUCCACCUUAGACAGCUCUUCAUGGAGCCUAUCUAUCGCCAAGCCUUAGACUCCUGGGGUGGGGAUGGGGGGGGGGGUGGUGGAUGGAGAGACUGCUGAGGAGCUGGGAAACCCUGAGCAGUUCGGACUCCCUCUCUCAGUUUCUCCGUUUGUCCAACAGAGAUUAUAGCUGUGCUGCCCAUCUCGUCAGUGCUGGUGAGGAGCCUGGAGGACCGUGCCGUGGGGGCCUUGGCAGGGGCCAGGAGCCCACCGCCUGGGCCCACCCAGUGGGAAGCUGGCUGUGCCGAGGACCACCCACUGCAAACAUGAGCCGCUUACCUAAGCACCUGCUGUGUGUAUGGAGAAGCGUGAAGCGGGCCCUCACAAGGACAGGUGUGAAUAUGUGGACGUGGGACGCUGCCCUGGGUCCCAUCACAGGCUGGCAGCGUCACACGGCCAGCGUCCUGCAAGAGGAGGGCACGUUGCCACAGCAUAUCACUGUGACUCUGAUGUCCCCCUGAGGAAGUAUGGGCCACGUGACCAUGGGUAUGCUAGGUAUCACUGCUUGCUAGGAGCAAAACGUAACAGGUGAGUUGAUUCAAAGACACGUCAGUGAUGGGUGAUCUACAGGGCAAGUCAAGUCAGUGGCCUGAAGCGUGGGAGCAUGCCAGCGGGGCAGGACCUCACCCGUCUCCUGAGACUGGCACAAGGGAGGCGGGUGCUCGCCUCUGGGGAAGCCCUGGCCCAGCUGCAGGUAGCGCCGCCCGGAGGCAGCCGAGAGUACAGGUGGGCUGGGUGCGGAGAUCAGGGCUGGCUUUGAAGGUGCAACCUACUAGGCCUUCCCAGCAGGGAAAGGGGCUGGAGGCCCAGGGUGUUUGGGGUGUUGGGUGGCUGGAGGAGCCGGGAGGGAAAAGACUGGAAGGGGAUCUUGUUGUUCUUCCGGAGCCAAGAAUUUUGAGGUCUGACCUGCUCUUUGUGAAUCCUGUUGAAAUCCAUUUCCUCCUGCCCAGGGCCCUACAGGGCUGUUUUCCUUAGAGACACGAGGAGCACCAGUAGGUGAGGGCUUGAGGUUCAUGCAUCUUGUUCCCCCUCUCCCCUCCCCUCCCCCUGCCCUCUCCCCUCCCCCUGCCUUCUCCCCUCCCCUCCCUCUCCACCCUUUCCCAGUUAAGCACUCUGGUGUGAGGGAGCUAGGGAGUGAGAAGUCCAAGAAAAACAUUAGGGCCCCGACCCCAGCAAGCCACAGCCACCUUUCCCGGCUUCCCGCUGGGCAGAGGGCUGAGCAGAGUUGGCUUCCCGAGGGGAGCUGCCCCUCAGAAGUUCAGAGGGAAACCCUUCGAGAUUCUGGAAAUAGGAAGGGGCACCAGAGGAGGCCCGAGGGGCUUCUCUCCUGAUGGCGGUCAACUCUGCUGCUGCUCCCCAAGGCUUGAAGAGUGGGGACAGUGUGGGGGGACAUGUUCCUGGGCCUCACUGCUGGAACCCGGCCCAGGGCCUCCAGGCUGUGGGCUCUCCCAGCGUCCGAGACGUCUAGACCCCACCUCAGAGAGACGAGCACUGAGUGUGCAAGGAGCUGCUCACGUGGGACCAGCGCACAGAAGAACCCAGUCAUGCCCCGUCCCGGAUCCCUGCCUGCGGGGCCCUGUAAGUGAGGGUGACAGCCUGGGUGGGGUGUGGGCAGCCUCAGGACCGCCACCAGAGCCAUCCUCAGCCACAGGGCCCUGCCACCUCUUCCCUCUGCCUGGGGCCCCUCUCGGCCUUUCCAGGGAAGAAGAGACAUCCAGGCCGAGAGGGGCCCGGAGGGACAGCCUCCCGGCAGGUGAGGGGGUGGUUGGGGGUGGCCUGCUGAGGACUGAGCUGGACAGCAAAGUGGCAGGUGGCCUGGGGGUGGCUCCUGGUUCCCCCUCCCCUGCUAGUUGGUGGGGGCCUCUGAUGGUGCCACCCUGCCCCCCACCAGCCUGAGAGCCCUUCCACAGCCGGCCUGGCUCGAGGGGAGCGUGCCAUUGUAGUCUGUCGGGCUCAGUUUACAGGGGCCGUGAGAGCGGCCGGCACAGCGAGUCGGUCCGGGCCGCCUGCCGGCCACCUGGACCUUGUCCCCUGACAGUUCCCGAGGGAAGAGGGAAAGGACGACCAAGUGACCAAGGCCACAGCUGAGGACAGGCAUUCAAGUGACAUUUCUUGAUGUUUCCAGAAGACUUCCCCCGCCCUCCCCACCUCUGGCCAGUGUUUCUACUGAGUAGUUGGAGCCACACUGCUCGUAUUAGCACCUAGUGCCUCUCAUGAAGACCAGCAAACCUCCAGGAUCACCAGCCCCUCGAGAGAGCAGGCCAGGUCCCCUGUGAAGAGCCCCGGAUCUGACUGGCCCUGGAUCUGGCAGCCAUCACACGUGGGCCCAGGUGACAGCAGCACGGCCUUCGAAGUUCUGAAGAAGCUGCGUUUGGAAUCCCAGAAGCUCUACGCAGUGAAUCUUGAAAGAGGGCUGCAUCAGGCCACCUGGAGGUGACAAGGGGCCCCACGCACCUGUCCCAGGAAGCUGCCAGAGGAUGCACGAAGAGUGGGCAGGGGGCCCGUGGAGGGGUGCACGGAAGCCAAGCAGGGCUCGCCGACACCGGGAGAGCUGGGGCACGGGGUCCCCUUCCAGCACAGGGACGUGCACCCCCGGGUGGCCAGUGGAGGAAAUGGGGGGUGGAGGGCCCUGGAAAGGGGCAGAGCCCCCACACUCUUGUGUCAACUCUAUAAGUAGACGUUAGGAAAUUGCCACAGGCAGGCCGCAGAUGGGGGUCCUGCCGGGGUGGGAAGGAGGGGGAGGUGGGCUAUGCUUCCUUAAGACUGACUUUGCUCCGACGCUAAGUCCGUCCUAAGAGAGCUGGGAAGACGGCCUUCUGCCCGCGCCCUGCCCCCAUCCGGGAGAGCAGUCGGUGCGUCUGAGGGGAGGCAGUGCUGACGGGACACGCAGGGAUGGGUGGGCUGUGCUGUCCAGACAUGGCCAGGUGGUGAGAAUGGGCCCUCCCGAGGCUGUCACAACCGGUGGCCCUGGACCCUCGGGUCACCAUAUCAUCGAUUCUUUCAUUAACUGCUUGAUUGAUUAAUCCCCUGGUCACUGAUGCGUUUGUGCCCCCGACGUCCGCUGGGGGCCUUCCGCACGUGAGACCCUUGCUGGGUGCCAGAACGGAGCCAGGAUCGACACCGCACAGCCACAGGCUGGCCGGAAGGUGGCCUUGGGGGCGGAAGCUGGGAAGCGGGCCAGCGUCCCCGGCAGGGUGUCAGGUCGGUGAGGAAGCCCAGAGAGGCCUUGCGGCAACCGUGCUUUUUGCUCGGGCUCCGAGAGGUGCCCGUUGCUUCCCCUCCCCUGGGUGGCACGGGCGGGGACGCAUGCCAUGCCACCGCUGCCGGCGGGCCUGGGCCUAGCAGUGUCCUUGUUGCUGGGACGUCCUCACCCUCCUGACAGGAGGGUGGAUUGAGGGCCCUGCAGUCUGCCGGUCGGCCUGGGGGGCCCUGUCUCCACACGCCGCCGGGACUGUGUGCCCCGGGGCACCUCGUCCUUGGCCGUGCCGCCCAGGACCUUUGCACAGGCUGUCCCGCACAGGCUCUGUGUCUCUUUUCACGUGUCCCUCCCGCUCUGUGGAUUGGGCCAGGCUGGCUCCUCCCCACGCCCUGGUCCUUGCACACAGAGUGAAGGGCACAGAGGUGACAAACUUGAGCCCCAGGCCAGCCCGAGGCCAUGCAGCAGGAGGGGACAGAGGAGGGACCAAAGCCAUUCUGGGUGACCAUUACCUGCCUGGCCCUGUGUCUACACCACUAGCCAGUGGGACAGUGAGGAGACCAGCCCAGCACAGGUAACACCUAGUGCCCAGCUGCCCUGCCUUUGCAGGAGAACCCCUUGCUGGGCCCUCACCUUGCCAUGCCUGAGUAGGCCUGCUCCCACGACACUGCCUCCUGGAAGCCCUCCUGCCUCCCUUCCAAAGCAACACUUCUGUAUCACCCUGCUGACUGUCCUUGUGCUACUCUGGCUCUGACUCCCUGACUCACGGCCUUUCUGAUUUCCUGUCACCAUCCCGUGCCGGCACGUGUCCCCGGAGCCCAGCACAAGCCUGGCGCACGGUGGCGUCCGGGAGGCGUCGGCCAAGGAAUCGAGGAACACGCUCCCCUCCCCACAUCGUGGAAGGAGAUGCCUUUGUGUGGAGUCCCUGCCCUGUGGAAGUCUGUCCCUGGAGCCAUUUCUCUCCUCCCCCCACAUCUGCCUGGGAGGCCCCUGGUGGCCCCUGCCGCAGGCCCCCAGGGCACGGGCUGCGCGCCUGUGUGCCAACGUCCGCAGCUAGCCGCGUUCCCGGGAGAAACGUGCGUUUCUGCCCCCGCUGUCCGGCAGGGAAUGUUCGCGGCAGCUUUCUUCACUGUGGCCCUGCCACCUGAAGGGCGAGUACACAGGCGGUGGGUAUCCAGCCGGUGGAGAACCAUCUGCGAGAGCUUGCCCGCGCACGCGGGCCUCACCUGCCCGGGGAAGGGUUCCCAACACAAAAGAGAAGUCUGGGGCUCCGUGAGCCUGACCCGGCGUCGCCCCACGACCCUGGCGCUCCUCUCUGAGGGGGGUGCCCAAGACAGGCGACAACCUGUGUCCGCCCACGAGUGCGCACAGCAGCACCGUUCCAGAGAUCGAACAACCCAACAUCCGCCAACCAACGGACGGGUCCACCAAACGUGGUCUCUCCACCGGCGGAGUGUCACUCGGUCUCAAUAAGGAGCGAGGCAUGGACACUGCCGCGUGGACGAGCCUUAAAAACACAGUUCAGAGUGAGAGAGGCCGGGCCCGGGAGGACACACGUCGUAUGAUCCCAUUUGCAGGAAAAUCCACAGGGACAGAAAGCGGCCUCAUGGUUGCCAGAGACUGGGGAGACAGUGGGGUAAGGACUGACUGUUUCCAAGUCUCCUUUGGAAUGAUGGAAUGUUCCAGACUGAGAGGGGACAGCUGCACAACAGUGCCAAUGUACUCAAUGCCACUAAGUCGUAUACUUUGACGUGGUUACAGUGGUGGAUUUUAUGUGGCGUGCAUUGUAUCACAAUGCAAAUCAACCCCUCACAAAAAUAAAACAUUGGGAGUGGAAGAGCGUGAACUCUGCCUAGUUCCACUGACGAAGUUUCUGUAUGAGCUCUAAAAACAGCAUAUGGGUUCUCAGGGCAGGACCUUAAUUUUGCAAACUGUUUCCGAGUUGAACAACCCCCUUUGAUAGACUGGGAAUAUCAAAACGCCUAUUGGCAUGGAUUUGGGGAAAGGUUUUAACGUGUGAGAAGACAAGCCUUCCUCCCCUAAAGAAGAGAUCCACUGGCUUGUCCAUGACUUCCAACCUCAUACUUUGGACACAUGCUACUCUCUUUGGCUUCCCGAGAGAAGGGCAAGUGACUCAUCCCAACCAUCCCCCCACUUCAGGAAUCCUGACGGAAAAGAUCGGGAGUGUGGGCAUCUCUUGUGUUAGAGCACAGAGUCUUAACCUCAGGGGAUGGGCGACUCCUCUGGAUGAGCUUUUCAGAAUGCAGGUAACUGGGUCCCUCUGAAACCUGCGGGUAGAACUCCGAGAGAGGCUGGGUGCACCUGCGUGCCUACCUGUGCGGGUACACACAGCACCUGAGUCUGUGUGUGUUUUUAUUUGACUUCUCAGGUGCUUAAUGUCUCAUGUAUAUACAAGAAUGUAUACAUCAUGGUGUGCCUUUCAUAAUAAGGAAGCAGGAGCCCACGUGCCCACCUCCCAACCCAAGAAGUAGAGUUUAACCAGCACCUCCGAGCCCUAGAAACCUUCCUUAAUGGUGUCCUUCAAUGGAGAGACCAUCGCUCGGUCCACUUCCACUGCCGCCUGGCUUGGCUCCUGCCGUUGAGCCUGGGUGUCUUUGGUUUAUGCUCUCCAGGGGUGGGGGUAGUGUUGCCUGGCUGUGUGGGAUGGGGCUUGGGUAGCAACACGGGGUCCAGCUACACUGGGAACUUCCAGUGCCUUCUUGGUCCAUACACCAAGGAAACUGGCAAAUGUUAUAAAUCAAGGCUCCCCCACCCACUUAGGAAGACAGUUAUCAAACAUUCACCAACGCCUAACUGGGUAGUUGAUCCCUGACUUCUAGGACCUCAAGUUCAGUGGAAGCGGUAAAACCUACAAGCAUAAGAUAACUUAAGAAUGUUGACGAGAACCCCUCUGGGUAUAUCCCCUAAAGAACCGAGAUCGGGGUCUCGAAGAGACAUCUACACACCCACGUUCACAGCAGCAUUAUUUACAACGGCCAAGAGAGGGGAGUAACCCAGGUACCCAUUGACAGAUGAACGGAUAAAUAAAAUGUAGUCCAUCCAUACACUGGAGUAUGAUUCAGCCUUAAAAAGGAAGGACGUUCUGACACCUGCUACAACAUGAAUGAACUUGAGGACAUUAUGCUCAGUGAAGUAAGCCCGUCACAAAAAAAAGACAAACCCUGUAUGAUUCUACUCACAUGAGUGACUCAGAGUCAAGAUCAUGAAGACAGAACGCAGACUGGUGGUUGCCGGGGGCCAGGGGCAGGGGAAACGGGAAGCUGUUUAGUGGGUGUAGAGUUUCAGUUU
Long non-coding RNA from Leopardus geoffroyi (Geoffroy's cat), 8172 nucleotides. RefSeq lists it as uncharacterized. Lineage: Eukaryota; Metazoa; Chordata; Mammalia; Carnivora; Felidae. The transcript is spliced from 5 exons. The record is from RefSeq and is a predicted model, not a curated record.